GCCUUGAUGGGCUAGUUGGUUAUGUCGUCGGUCUCAUAGUGACGCUUACACAAGCGGCAAUCCGAAGGUCGGGAGUUCGAUCCUCCCUCGGGGCA
Molecule: transfer RNA, 95 nt
Organism: Serendipita vermifera MAFF 305830
Lineage: Eukaryota; Fungi; Basidiomycota; Agaricomycetes; Sebacinales; Serendipitaceae
Rfam family: tRNA
About the family: Transfer RNA (tRNA) molecules are approximately 80 nucleotides in length. Their secondary structure includes four short double-helical elements and three loops (D, anti-codon, and T loops).
Source: Rfam